UUAGGUUUAAAAUUGAUAGCCAGAGUACUACGAACAAAUGUUUAAAACUCAAGGACUUGGCGGUACUUUAGACUCUUCAGGGGAACCUGUCCCGUAAUCGACACUCCACGUUAUACCCUACCCCCUCUUGCGUUCCGCAUGUAUACCGUCGUCAUCAGGUAAUUUUUUAGAAAAUAAAAGUUAGCAAAUUAACUGUUAGUUAUUAUGUCAGAUCAAGGUGCAGCUUAUGAGGGGGCGGAGAUGGGUUACAAUUUAUAAUUAAAAUACGAAUAUUAAAAUUAAAAUUUUUUUGAAGGCGGACUUGAAAGUAAAAAUUAGUAGAUAAAAAUUUUGGAAUGAGCUCUGAAGUG
RNAcentral lists this ribosomal RNA (350 nucleotides) under Mainwaringia leithii. RNAcentral describes it as "partial 12S ribosomal RNA". The record is from RNAcentral. Lineage: Eukaryota; Metazoa; Mollusca; Gastropoda; Littorinimorpha; Littorinidae.